RNAcentral lists this ribosomal RNA (253 nucleotides) under uncultured bacterium. RNAcentral describes it as "partial 16S ribosomal RNA". It matches the Rfam family "Bacterial small subunit ribosomal RNA", at positions 524 to 776 of the family's 1533-position model. The record is from RNAcentral.
UACGUAGGGACCGAGCGUUGUCCGGAAUCAUUGGGCGUAAAGAGCGUGUAGGCGGCCCCUUAAGUCCUGCGUGAAAUCCUGCGGCUCAACCGCAGACGGUCGUGGGAAACUGGAGGGCUAGAGUGCGGGAGAGGAGAGUGGAAUUCCCGGUGUAGCGGUGAAAUGCGCAGAUAUCGGGAAGAACACCCGUGGCGAAGGCGGCUCUCUGGAGCGCAACUGACGCUGAGACGCGAAAGCGUGGGGAGCAAACAGG